RNAcentral lists this ribosomal RNA (252 nucleotides) under uncultured bacterium. RNAcentral's name for it is "partial 16S ribosomal RNA". It matches the Rfam family "Bacterial small subunit ribosomal RNA", at positions 524 to 776 of the family's 1533-position model. The record is from RNAcentral.
UACGUAGGGGGCUAGCGUUGUCCGGAAUCAUUGGGCGUAAAGAGCGUGUAGGCGGCCCGGUAAGUCCGCUGUGAAAGUCGGGGGCUCAACCCUCGAAUGCCGGUGGUACUGGCGGGCUAGAGUGCGGAAGAGGCGAGUGGAAUUCCUGGUGUAGCGGUGAAAUGCGCAGAUAUCGGGAGGAACACCUAUGGCGAAGGCAGCUCGCUGGGACGUUACUGACGCUGAGACGCGAAAGCGUGGGGAGCAAACAGG